RNAcentral lists this unclassified non-coding RNA (294 nucleotides) under uncultured fungus. RNAcentral describes it as "partial contains 5.8S ribosomal RNA, internal transcribed spacer 2, and large subunit ribosomal RNA". The stretch from base 1 to 52 matches the Rfam family "5.8S ribosomal RNA", at positions 103 to 154 of the family's 154-position model. The record is from RNAcentral. Lineage: Eukaryota; Fungi.
AACGCAACUUGCGCCCCUCGGUAUUCCGAGGGGCACACCUGUUUGAGUGUCGUGAAUUCCUCCACCUUUCGUCUUUCGAUCGAGGGGCUGGGAUUUGGGGGCCUCUGCGGGCCCUUUUUUUUUACGGACCCGCUCCCCUUGAAUGCAUGAGUGAAGGACCGCUCGCUGCCUUGGUGUGAUAACGUCUACGCCUCGGCCCGUCGAGAUCGAGGCCCUUUGCUUCCAACGGUCCGUUUUCGGACGAAACGAUACGAACUUGACCUCAAAUCAGGUGGGACUACCCGCCGAACUUAA